CAGGUUAUUUCCGAAUCCCGGAACCACAAGGAGCCAGGUUUUGAGGUGGAACAUCUGUGGAUUGAGACGGAGGAUGUGUCCUGUGAAAGGAGCCACAGUGUUGGAUGGAGAGAGAUCGGUUGGCAUACCAUUCUGUGAAGGAGGCUGUGGCAGUGGGAACACUUAUGGGAUGUGUCCCUCUCCUAGAGAGCGAAUACACUGCGGCUGGCUGGCAGUUACUGGGAAGGCCCUGCAAGAGAUGCACCUCUUAAACCCAGGGGAUCUGUGCAUAAGGGUGAGGAAAAAAGCUUCCCAGUUAGGAACAGCAGGAAGCAGAAGAACCAAAACCUAAGCUAUGAAUAACUUUAAAGGGGGCGCUGCCGCACCUACAAGAGGAGCUCCCAGAGGGAUAUCACUUGAAGAAGAAACAAAGGUGACCAGUGAAGACGCAGUUGAGGGAGGAGUUGCCUACAAGCCAGUUCAUCAAUCAUUGAAGACAAAAGUAGUUGGAGGAACAAUAUCCUCCAUCCAGAGCUCAGAGAAAUUAAAUUACAUGCAUAAGGCCAAUAAGUAUGUCAGUAGCACAACCACAAUUAGAACUAGAGUUCCUGACAUGCCACACUUCACUCAUUCUUUUAGAUCAGACAUUGCCCCUUUUAAAUGAGAAAGCAACUGACUUUAAUAUGAUUUUUGUUAUUUUAUAAUUUGCUGCUUUUUUAAUUUAAAGCAGAGAUUGAUGUUGAUUUUACCCAAAACAUGCACUCUCACUGGCCGAUCUUCUUUAGACCCUAAAAGAUGUGGAAUGCACUUUCAUUUAAUACUAUUCAAACCACGUUUCCUACAUAGAACUUAGUUGAAAUGUUCUCUUAUAUAUUUUGUAUAUAAAAACAAACAAAAUAUACAUGCUAUCACAUGGUUUUGCUGUAUAAAAAAUCUCCUUCUCCACAGACCUUCCAACAUGUUUCAUCCCUAAACUGAGUCGACUUGUAUUCACUCUUCAUGUCAAUUAAAUUCAUAGGAACAAAGGAAUCACCAGACUGGAUCAGACGAGGUACAUCUAGCCCAUCCCGUCUCCAACAGUAACCACUUACAGAUGUUUCAGAGGAAAGGUGUAAGAGACCUGGAGUAGGCAAAUGCAGGAUGUUUCCCACAUUAGGUCUCACCCUGAUCUCCAACAGUUAGAUUGGCUUAAGUCCUAAAAGCAUGAAGUCUAGUAUCCCUUCCAAAAUUUAGUCUCUCUGCUGAGACUUCCAAGAGGGGUCCCAAUUAACAUCAACUAACAGUGUUUUAUGUGACAAUGUAGACACUUGUCCACUAGGUAUUAGACUGACAAACUCAUUUAACAUAGAAUGCACAGCCUCUAAAUUGUGAAUUACUGUGGGUCACUGUCAUCCUAGGCUGGAAUCAAAAUAGCCUUUUCUACAAUAGGCAUUUCUCUAAUAAUAAUUUACUACUUUGGCAGCAGCGGUGGGAGUGCUAGUGUAGACAAUGCACUGGUCCCCUGAAGCAUUUUAAGUAUUGCAUUAUGUGGACCUGCUUUGAGCAGCAUUAGAUUAUGCUGAGAAAACACCAGUAGUUCCUGAAGCCAUAUCUAUACAAGCUCUGACCACUGCUACCAUAGGUGAAGCUGACUUGAGAAUACUAACAGUGAGAAAUGUUUGACAAGGAAGCAUAGUGUAGAGUACACACACCCUCCAGUGACCUCGAGGCAAAAAGCAGAAAAUCAUAUUCCUAUCACAUUUUGCUUGCUAUGAACAUUGUUACCAAACAAUCACUCCUGUAUUCCCAGACAUUUUCUUCCUUUUAAAAAACAGUUUCAAAUGAAUAAAGGCAAGAAAACAUUUAUGGUUGUUAAGCUGCAAGUAAUAUUGGUUAUUUACUUGUAAACUGAUGUGUGGUGUAUGAACAGAAUGUCCAGAAAUACAGUUGCUUUCAUUUGCACUUUAUCACCACAACAUAUUUAUACUGUAUGCCUUACAGAAAACAAACGAUAUGCAACAUACUUGAAAUAUGGUAACAGCAUACAAUGAGUUACUUGGAUUUUAACUCAGGGAAUUUGAUCACAGCUGAAAAACGUAGUGUAACAAUACUAUUUUUCCCUAUACCCAAUAUGCAAAAAAUUGAGUUUGGAAAUUUAAGUUAGUGUGUGUCCACAAGAUCUCUAGUUCAUUUCAAAGUAUUUCCUUUCUUGAUCAUUUUAAACUAUGAAAUGCAUAAAAUAACUUUGCAACAUAAUGUACUAAAUGCUUUGAAUUUAAUAUUUUCUACAUUCAUACCAAAACCAAUUAACAGUUUUUACAAAUAGUGUUAUUUACUAAAUUACACUCUUCUA
This is a long non-coding RNA of Chrysemys picta bellii (western painted turtle), 2311 nucleotides long. RefSeq lists it as uncharacterized. The record is from RefSeq and is a predicted model, not a curated record. NCBI's taxonomy places the organism in Eukaryota, Metazoa, Chordata, Testudines, Emydidae.